GAUGAACGCUGGCGGCGUGCCUAAUACAUGCGGUCGAGCGAACGGACGAGAAGCUUGCUUCUCUGAUGUUAGCGGCGGACGGGUGAGUAACACGUGGAUAACCUACCUAUAAGACUGGGAUAACUUCGGGAAACCGGAGCUAAUACCGGAUAAUAUUUUGAACCGCAUGGUUCAAAAGUGAAAGACGGUCUUGCUGUCACUUAUAGAUGGAUCCGCGCUGCAUUAGCUAGUUGGUAAGGUAACGGCUUACCAAGGCAACGAUGCAUAGCCGACCUGAGAGGGUGAUCGGCCACACUGGAACUGAGACACGGUCCAGACUCCUACGGGAGGCAGCAGUAGGGAAUCUUCCGCAAUGGGCGAAAGCCUGACGGAGCAACGCCGCGUGAGUGAUGAAGGUCUUCGGAUCGUAAAACUCUGUUAUUAGGGAAGAACAUAUGUGUAAGUAACUGUGCACAUCUUGACGGUACCUAAUCAGAAAGCCACGGCUAACUACGUG
RNAcentral lists this ribosomal RNA (496 nucleotides) under uncultured bacterium. RNAcentral describes it as "partial 16S ribosomal RNA". It matches the Rfam family "Bacterial small subunit ribosomal RNA", at positions 28 to 507 of the family's 1533-position model. The record is from RNAcentral.